RNAcentral lists this long non-coding RNA (495 nucleotides) under Marmota monax (woodchuck). Lineage: Eukaryota; Metazoa; Chordata; Mammalia; Rodentia; Sciuridae. The record is from RNAcentral.
CAGGUGGAAGGGAUUUUCCGCUUGGAGGGGAGAGUCCACUCUACCCUGGCUGCAGAGGUUGAGGAGUUUCCCCUGACCCCCAAGGUGGAGAGGUCUCCUGCCUAGAGGGGUGACUUCCCUCUACCCUGGCUGAGAGGGUGUACCAGUGUUCCCAGGCACCCAUGUGGGAGGGGUCUCCUGCUUGGAAGGGUGAGCCCCCUCUUUCUGGCAGCUGUUACACAAUAGCCGCCCCCCCAUACCCAGAUGUUAGGGGUCUCCUGCCUGAAGUGACGAGUCCCAUUUACCUGGCUGCAGUGGUUUACUAGCUUUCCCUGACACAGAUUGGAUGGGUCUCUCGCCUGGAGUUUCAAGUCCCCUCCACCCUGGCUGAGGAAGUAAAGGAUCUCCCCCUGACACCAAGGUGGGAGGGUCUCCAUCCUGGAGAGGCAAGUCCCCUCUACUCUGGCUGCAAUGGUAUAGGAGGUUCCUCCUACAUCCAGGCGGAAAGGGUCUCCU